GGUCCUGAAGGAACGUUGAAGACGACGACGUUGAUAGGUCGGGUGUGUAAGCGCAGCGAUGCGUUGAGCUAACCGAUACUAAUGAACCGUGAGGCUUAACCUU
Molecule: ribosomal RNA, 103 nt
Filed under: Enterobacter asburiae
Lineage: Bacteria; Pseudomonadati; Pseudomonadota; Gammaproteobacteria; Enterobacterales; Enterobacteriaceae
Description: partial 23S ribosomal RNA
Rfam family: Bacterial large subunit ribosomal RNA
Source: RNAcentral